Homo sapiens (human) is the source of this 1550-nucleotide long non-coding RNA. Ensembl annotates it as CCDC26 long non-coding RNA. Its record names the gene CCDC26. NCBI's taxonomy places the organism in Eukaryota, Metazoa, Chordata, Mammalia, Primates, Hominidae. The record is from Ensembl.
GCUACAGUGCUACUGGCCCAUAAUCAGGCAACUGCAGAGUCUUAGGGGGUUAUCUAAUGUAGUCUUGGGGUGGCUGGAUAGACUUCCCAAAGAAGGUGAUGCCGAAGCUGAGGUCGGAAAUUACGAAGAUCAGCUAUAAAGACUGUUUACAGAUAGGCUUUGAGAUAAUGCCACUGAGACAUCACUGCUACUACCAACAUGGCUGUUUCAUGACCUCGUGUAAGAAGACUUCUCACGCCGUCCCUGUUCAUGAAUCAUAACCAGAGAUUGUGCCUGCAGCCUGGCCUGUUGCCCACAGCGGUCUACCUGCCACACUGGGAAAGAUCGAGCAGAGACAGAGAAGAAAAGGAGGCUCCAUUUUUCAGGCUGCUCUCCCGCAGGCUCAUGUUUUGUGUUCAUGCCAGGCAGAGAACACAAAAUGUUCCAAUAAAUAAGUAUCAAAGGUUAGUGGUGAAAAUGAAGGAGGAGGAGGCAUUGCGUGAAAAACUAAACAUGCAAAAUAUUACACACAAAGAGAACCAAAAUGCAGGUUCACUGGAAAUGAUAGACAAUAUGUUAAAACAAGAGGAGAGAAGAGAGCUGAAAUAAUCAAAUGGAAACACACAAUUUAGGGCUAAGAUCUUGUUGUGUUCAGCCACAAAUGAUGGCCAGCAGUGAGGAAUCUGUGUGUUCUCCACACUCUUCGCUCCUGGGAAGUCAACUCACAUGGACCAUGAUAUCAAUAUCUGCUCCUUCCCCUAAUAUCUGUUUGACCUUGGGUCAGUUACUUAAACUUCCUAAGCCUUAGUUUCUUUGUCUGGAAAAUAGGGAUAGUUAUACCUACCACACAACCACUUUGUAAUGAAUAUGUUGGAAAUUAUAUGCAAAUUGGCUUCCGUUGGUGUUUGGAACAUAGUAGGUUUUUAACUGGAAUAUAAUAGCUACCAUUAUCAGUAUCAUCAUAUUAAUUUAUAUUUCCAUCUUCAGCCCUUAACCCAGGAUCUUCAGUAAAUGUUGAAUUCUCAAAUUUGUUAAAUUCACUUGUCUAUACUAAUAUUUUACUCUAGGUUUCUUAGAAUAUUCUAGAUAAUAUUAUUAUGUAGAAUAUGUUAUGUAAGCUUCAUCUUAUCUGUAAAUAUAGUUUUACUUUUUCCUUUCUAAUUUUUAUGUCGAUUACUUCUUUUUCUUGGCUUAUUGAAUUGGCUAGGAUUCCCGUACAGUGUUGAAUACGUGCAGCAAGACUGCACAUCUUGCCUUGUUCCUGGUCCCACAGAGAGAAUAUCCAGUACUUCACAAUAAGUAUGUGUUAAUUGUAGAUUUUAUUAGAUUGAGGAAGUUCCCUUUCCUUUCAAGUCAGUCUUUUUAUUUUAAACAUGUAUUGAAGUUUUGUCAAAUGUCUUCAUCUAUUGGAAUAAUUAUACAUAUCUCUUUUUUAUUCUGUUAAUAUUACAUUUCAAUCUUCUGUCUACCUAAAAUCCCUAGAAUAAUCUCCAUUUGGCUAUGAUGUGUUGUGCUUUUAUAUAUUACUGAAUUCUAUAUGCCAAUAUUAUUAAAAUUUUCUGUCUUUAUGA